This 67-nucleotide transfer RNA is filed under the name Branchiostoma belcheri (Belcher's lancelet). RNAcentral's name for it is "tRNA-Glu". The record is from RNAcentral. Lineage: Eukaryota; Metazoa; Chordata; Leptocardii; Amphioxiformes; Branchiostomatidae.
UUUUGUAGUUAAAAUUACAUAACAUGAGCUUUUCAUGCUCAAAUUCUUGGCUGCAAGCAAAAAUUAA